RNAcentral lists this ribosomal RNA (500 nucleotides) under uncultured bacterium. Its description in RNAcentral is "partial 16S ribosomal RNA". It matches the Rfam family "Bacterial small subunit ribosomal RNA", at positions 30 to 523 of the family's 1533-position model. The record is from RNAcentral.
AUUGAACGCUGGCGGAAUGCUUUACACAUGCAAGUCGAACGGCAGCACGGACUUCGGUCUGGUGGCGAGUGGCGAACGGGUGAGUAACAUAUCGGAACGUAUCCAAUAAUGGGGGAUAACGAGUCGAAAGAUUCGCUAAUACCGCAUACGCCCUACGGGGGAAAGCUGGGGACCUUCGGGCCUGGCGUUAAUGGAGCGGCCGAUAUCUGAUUAGCUAGUUGGUGAGGUAAAGGCUCACCAAGGCGACGAUCAGUAGCUGGUCUGAGAGGACGACCAGCCACACUGGAACUGAGACACGGUCCAGACUCCUACGGGAGGCAGCAGUGGGGAAUGUUGGACAAUGGGCGCAAGCCUGAGCCAGCCAUUCCGCGUGAGUGAAGAAGGCCUUCGGGUUGUAAAGCUCUUUCGCAAGGGAAGAAAACUUAGCCACUAACAUUGGUUGAGGUUGAUGGUACCUUGAUAAGAAGCACCGGCUAACUACGUGCCAGCCGCCGCGGUAA